RNAcentral lists this ribosomal RNA (290 nucleotides) under Uromacer oxyrhynchus. Its description in RNAcentral is "partial 12S ribosomal RNA". The record is from RNAcentral. Lineage: Eukaryota; Metazoa; Chordata; Lepidosauria; Squamata; Dipsadidae.
AAAGACUUGACGGUACUUCACACCAACCUAGAGGAGCCUGUCCAAUAACCGAUACUCCACGAUUAACCCCACCCACCCUAGCCUUUACAGUCUAUAUACCGCCGUCGCCAGCCCACCUUGUGAAAGAAAUAAAGUGAGCCAAAUAGACUUAACCACUAACACGACAGGUCGAGGUGUAACUUAUGGGUGGGUAAAAGAUGGGCUACAUUUUCUAACACAGAACACACGAACAAACUGUGAAAUCAGAAACUGAAGGCGGAUUUAGCAGUAUGAUAAGAAUAGAAUACUUA